GAGAGUCAGUGUGUCCCUCUUGCAUAGGCUGUUUCUUAAGUAACUUUAAUUCAAAAUAAUCAAUUUGCCAUUGACACAUAUCUUGGGACAGCCUAAAUAUCUCAGUAAAGCAGUUACAAAACCAAAUAACCAGGCCCGUCUAUGAGAGAGGAGAUGAAAGAAGCUGGCAACUGGAAUCAAUUCAGAUCUCCCCCUGCCUCCUAGUUAACAAGGGCCAGCAUCCUACGGCAAAGGGUAAUGUCAUGGGUCUACUGUUUCAAAAUACGCUCAAACGACCAGACUGUAGAAAGAAAAAAGGAAAAGCACCAGCUUCUGCUUACUCAUCUAGGUUCCCAGUGAUUGCCAGGACGGUGCUACCAGCUCACAGGAGCAACAUAAGCAGAAACUGGAAUGUAAAGUAGAGAAAGCUACAGGUGCCCCAGGGGAGAUGUGACCCAGCCUAGGCAUCAGGAAGAGUUGCCUUGAAAAUGUGAUGAGUAAGCUAAGAGCUGAAGGACCAAAGGAGCUAGCAAGGCAAAGAAGAACAGAAGAACAUUCCAGGUGAAGGGAGCUCAGGUAUGGAGCCAGGAACUAAGGUCCCCACCCAGGUGGAAGAUGGUAACUUCAAGCUGAGCACAAGAUUCCUGGAGCACCACCCUGUUACCUCACCACCAGCCAAUCAGAAGAAAGUCACACACCCUGCAACCCUUACCCUAAAUUUGCCUUUAAAAACUUCUCACUGAAAACCAUCAGGGAGUUCAGGUUUUUUAGCACGAGCCACCCAUUUUCCUUGCUUGACCUGGCAAUAAACCUUUCUCUGCUCCAGACUCCCACAUUUCAGUUUGUUUGGCCUCACUGUGCGUCGGGCACACAAACUUGUGUUCAGUAACAAAAAUACUGUUAGGGACUGAAUGUUUAUGUCUCCCCCAAAUUCAUAUGCUGAAAUCCUAACCCCCAGGGUGAUGGAGUCUGGAGGUGGGGCCUUUGAGAGGUAAUUAUGAAUGGGAUUUGUGCCCUUAUAAA
Long non-coding RNA from Eubalaena glacialis (North Atlantic right whale), 1002 nucleotides. RefSeq lists it as uncharacterized. Lineage: Eukaryota; Metazoa; Chordata; Mammalia; Artiodactyla; Balaenidae. The record is from RefSeq and is a predicted model, not a curated record. The transcript is spliced from 4 exons.